Molecule: ribosomal RNA, 461 nt
Filed under: uncultured soil bacterium
Lineage: Bacteria
Description: bacterial SSU rRNA
Rfam family: Bacterial small subunit ribosomal RNA
Source: RNAcentral
AGAGUUUGAUCCUGGCUCAGGACGAACGCUGGCGGCGUGCUUAACACAUGCAAGUCGAGCGGAAAGGCCCUUCGGGGUACUCGAGCGGCGAACGGGUGAGUAACACGUGAGUAAUCUGCCCCUAGCUCUGGGAUAGCUCCGGGAAACCGGGAUUAAUACCGGAUACGACCACCUUAGACAUCUUUUGUGGUGGAAAGAAUUUCGGCUAGGGAUGAGCUCGCGGCCUAUCAGCUUGUUGGUGGGGUAACGGCCUACCAAGGCGACGACGGGUAGCCGGCCUGAGAGGGCGACCGGCCACACUGGGACUGAGACACGGCCCAGACUCCUACGGGAGGCAGCAGUGGGGAAUCUUGCGCAAUGGGCGAAAGCCUGACGCAGCGAUGCCGCGUGCGGGAUGAAGGCCUUCGGGUUGUAAACCGCUUUCAGCAGGGACGAAAUGACGUACCGCAGAGAGCCCCGCU